RNAcentral lists this ribosomal RNA (373 nucleotides) under uncultured bacterium. RNAcentral describes it as "bacterial SSU rRNA". It matches the Rfam family "Bacterial small subunit ribosomal RNA", at positions 527 to 896 of the family's 1533-position model. The record is from RNAcentral.
GUAGGGGGCAAGCGUUGUCCGGAUUUAUUGGGCGUAAAGAGCUCGUAGGCGGUUCGGUAAGUCGGAUGUGAAAUCUCCAGGCUCAACCUGGAGGGGUCAUUCGAGACUGCCGUGACUAGAGUUCGGUAGGGGAGUGUGGAAUUCCUGGUGGAGCGGUGAAAUGCGCAGAUAUCAGGAGGAACACCCGUAGCGAAGGCGGCACUCUGGGCCGAUACUGACGCUGAGGAGCGAAAGCGUGGGGAGCGAACAGGAUUAGAUACCCUGGUAGUCCACGCCGUAAACGUUGGGCACUAGGUGUGGGACUCUAUCGACGGGUUCCGUGCCGUAGCUAACGCAUUAAGUGCCCCGCCUGGGGAGUACGGCCGCAAGGCUA